Callithrix jacchus (white-tufted-ear marmoset) is the source of this 160-nucleotide small nuclear RNA. Its record names the gene U1. It matches the Rfam family "U1 spliceosomal RNA". Rfam says of the family: U1 is a small nuclear RNA (snRNA) component of the spliceosome (involved in pre-mRNA splicing). Its 5' end forms complementary base pairs with the 5' splice junction, thus defining the 5' donor site of an intron. NCBI's taxonomy places the organism in Eukaryota, Metazoa, Chordata, Mammalia, Primates, Cebidae. The record is from Ensembl.
AAACUCAUCUCAAUUCUUAACCUCCCAUGAUCACGAAGGUGGUUUUCCCAGGGCGAGGCUUAUCCAUUGCAGUCCGGAUGUGCUGAACCAUGCGGUUUCCCCAAAUGUGGGAAAAUCGACUGCAUAAUUUGUGGUAGUGGAGGACUGCGUUCGUGCUAAA